This 7571-nucleotide long non-coding RNA is filed under the name Marmota monax (woodchuck). Lineage: Eukaryota; Metazoa; Chordata; Mammalia; Rodentia; Sciuridae. The record is from RNAcentral.
GUGUGUUCGCACGCAUGCACAGCCCCACUGGAAGGAAAGACUGCUGCCUUCUCAAGUCAUUUAUAGUACCAGCUUUGACAGGAGGCUGCCUGUGGCAGAACCUCCCACUGGCACCAUUCCCAUGGGUGGGGCCCUGGCCAGGCAGCUUUGGCCUUAGAUGCACAUCUUGGCACAUGCAGCUACAUGCUCACUUGCACACAGGCUCAUAUACAUGUCAGGACACAAGGUCCACGUGACAAGGUCGAGUCUGCCCAGGCUGGUUUCUCUAUGUUGGUGCUGCCUGUUUCCCUCCCAUCUUCCCAAGUGGCAGACCUGACAAGCACUAUCCUACCCCUUCGGCUGUCCUCAAAUGUAGCCUCCUGCCCUCUUGGUUCUGGACAGACUCUCAGAGCCUCCCUAUGUGCAUAAUCACAAGUGAGAGCAAAGGAGCCACUAAAGACAAUGUCUACUUUUCACCAGGACUUACUGGGAGAUCUUAGGGAGACCUCCCUAAGACCUUCCUAUUAAAAACUGCAUUUUGGAGAAAUGGAGAUACUAUCCACCUGGAUUUUGCUAGACCUUGAGGGUUCCCAGAGCUUUUUAAAGUCCACUGUCUAUGAGUCCCUGAUGGCUUUUGAUAAGAUAAAUGAAGAGAGGUAUGGCACCCAUACCAAGCUCUGGCUGGGUACCAUGUGUCCCCAAAGAUGAGAGGCCUCCUUGGCUACAAGGAAUGGAGACUCUCAGGGAAGGACCAGUAGGAGGGUCCUGCAGCUCGGAUCUCUGCCCAUCCAAGGCCUCCCAGCAACCUAGCACAGACCAUGGAGAAACCUAUCACCUAUCAGGCUUCAGGGUGACCAGGCCCCACAGCUGAGCUCCGGAAACUGGGUCAUUCAGGGCCAGGGCCACUCCUGACCAGAAUUCCUGAUACCCCAGACAAGUCAUUUGUAAUGAAUGUGACACAGCUGCAUCUCGCAUUUCUGCUUCUCUUUUGGUCUGACCAUUUAUCUUCCUGUUAACAACUCAGUAAUUUUCCUACUUUAAAUUCUGGAGAGAGAGAAAAAAAAUUAGUUUGGCUAAAUUCAUUACCAUUUUUCAAGUGAUUAUGGAUGUGCAAAAAACAAAUUAUCCCCAAACUUAGUGCCUUUAAAAAACAUAAAAGCAAAACUAUUUAUAUGCGUAUGGGCUUGCAAUUUGGGCAGGGCUUGGUGGGGAUAGCUCAUCCUGCUCACCUGUGGUGCUGGGAGGCUGAGUGCUGGAAUCAUCUGAAACCUUACUUUCUCACAUGCCACGCUGAUGCUGGCUCUCAGUUAAGACCUUUGGACAUUCACUGGGACACCUACAAAUGAUUGUAUUUAGCCAAGUCUUACUUUUCAUAUGCUGAUGUUUUAAUAUCUUGCAAGUCUUGCUGACCUUGGAGAUAUUAUCCCUUUCAGAUGAGCCACAAGAUGAUUCCUGGCAAACAACUCACCUGUGAGGGUGUCUUUCAUAUGAAAAGCAACCAAUCCAGUGUUCACACUGAAACCACCUUCUUCACCAAACAAUUAUGUUCCAGGGACCCCUAUAUUCUUGACCUAGAAACCCCGGAACUGGGUAAUUUGGGACAACCCCUAUGCCCCAGGGCUGCUGAAAUGAUUUAAACUUGCAGAUCCUGAAUCUGUACCCUGUCUCACCUGUUCCUUCCUGUGGAAACUGCAGUAAAGGCUCUUACCCUGAUUUCCCCUCCUCUGGUUUCUGGAUCAAUCUUGAUACUUCUUUCCUUGGAGGCCCCCAUGGCGUGAUGUUCCCUCUUCUUUCAGUGUGUAGCAUACUGUCUCUUCAGUGUCUCCUGUUUUCCUGUUGACUUCACCAGAUCUGAUUAAUAACAAUAAUAAACACUAUGUUUUUAAAUAGGGGUUUCUCUAGUGGCCUGAGCUUCCUCAUGAUCUGGUGGCUGAGUUUCAAGGUGGGUGUCUUCUGAACAAGAGUCCCAAGUGGAAGCCAUAUCACAUCUUAUAAUCAAGGCUUAGAAAUUACUCGGUGUCAUUUCUGUUGCAUUCUGUUCACCAAAACAACCACAAAACCCUGCCUGGGUUCAGGGGAAGAAGUAGCCUCCACCUCCUGAAGGGGUGUGGUGAGGUGUUAGAAGAGCAUGUUAAUUGAAAUAUUUGGUCAAUUUUGGAAAAUACAGUCCAGUUCUCCACUAUCCUCUCUGGGCAGAGCUCUUCAUGCCAGCCCAUCUCAGGGAUCACAGGUCAGUUGGUGAUUGGGCUGUUUACAAAUUAGGUGACUAAUCUGAUCCCCAGUGUUGCUCUUAGACAUGACCAAGGAGGGGUUCAUUCAAGCCUUUGUCCUCUUCUUCAUGGAAUGAGAAAUUUGCAGGAUACUAUGUGAAGUUUAUGCAACCACAGUCCUGUUAUAGAAUGCACUUUGGGUACCCAGACUCUAGAAGCUCCUAUCCAAACAGCUCUGAACCCACUUCUAAGAGGGAUAGGAAUCUCUUCAGCAGAUCUGUUUCUUGAAGGCAAAUCAUACUAUGGUGAGGAGAGGUUAAAAGGUGGUUAUUCUCAGAGUGGAGUGGGGUGAAGAUGCAGCUUGAACAUACCUUCUGUGGAAGAGCCUAUCUGCAUGAGCAUAGACUCACAUGUCAGGGAGAAGGGAGGUUGGUGGUAGACCAGGAGCUGGGCCUGAUGCUCUCUAUGUUGUCUCCCAGUGUAGCACUCUUAAGAAGUCUGAUCAUUUUAAGUUUGAACCUGGUCUUUCAGCCUCAUUAGAUGAGAUGGUGGGGGGGUCCCACUUAAUUCUCUCGUGCCACAAAUGACAGAGGUAGUCCAAUCAGCAUGGUUCAAUCAGCUGUGGGGAAUGGGUGUAGAGAGUAUGCUCCCCUGUUUUGGAUAGAUCCUAAGGCUGCUGGAGAUGUGUAAGGCCCUGUGAUGGGACUCAGCCUUCAAUACCCCUCUUUGAGACAGAGAUGAAUAAUGACAUUUUACAGAUGAGGACACAGGCUUAGUGAGGUUAAGUGGCUUGCUCAGUCACACAACUGGCGUGUGGAGAUGAGAUGGCAAUGACUACCUUUGUAUCUGGGUCUCCUUUCUGUCCAGGAAGCAGCUGCUCAAGAUUAUAGGCAGGUGUCUGGGAGACUUUCCAGAUCUUGCCUCUUAGCUCCUGCCACUAUUGUACAUUUAAGUAAGGUGGCUUAGAAAAGGAUUCUACUAGAUUUGUUUGAAGAAGGGAUGGCAUUGACAAAAAUCUAGAAAAUUACUCUGGGAUAAAUAAUAAUAGCCUGAGUGGAGAUGUGUUUAUUUGGGGUGAGUAGCAGAUAGGCUGAGAUGCAUCCUGAAAAAGUAGGCCCGAGACCCAAAAUUUUGUAUAUAUGUGCUCACUGGGCUUCGAUAUCCUCAGGAAGCAAAACUCACAACUCUAGACUGCAUAUCUGUUGAAUUGUCCCCAGAGAAAUAUGAAGAGAGAGAUCUGACAGGCUCAAAGUUAUAUCCAUUGUGUGCUUAGUUCUUGGCAUCUUCCUUUCCCUCAGUCAGGAAUGCCCUUCCCUGCCUCCUAAGACCUGGACCAUCAGGGAGCCUGGUCUGUGCUCUCCUUGGGCUAUGAGCUUGUUAAUAAGCAGAAAAGAGUGAUUGAAAGCUGGGAAGGGGGAGGUAGCAUGAACAUCCCCUAGAUCAAUGUGCAAACUUAUUUAGCACCUCCUGGCUCUGGCAAAUUGGGCUGCAUGCACCGAGGUAACCAUCUCAAGCUGCAUAGGGGCCCUGAAGGAGGCCCUGCUACUCACCUGGGUUUUCUUUCCUCCUCUGAAAGGCUUGAUAUGCCAAGAACAACAUUUCCCUUUUCAAUAAUAAAAACUACUUUCCUUUUUUCAUAACUUUAUUCAUUCACUUUAUAAGUUAAAGUUUCUUUUUCCCCUUUAUUUACAUAAACUUUUUUUUUUCUUCAACAGUGGGGCUCUGAAAGAUUGGGGAUACCCCUCUAGCACUGUGUGUGUGUCUGAGACCAAAAACCAGAAGGGCAGAUUGCUUACACCUUUCUGAGGCAGCUAAUGAAAUGCAGGCCUUCCGUGGGGGAAGACUGUCUGGACCGCAGCCGCUUGUUUCCAUCCCCGAGGACUAGAGCUGCCUUCAGAUUUCAACUGCUUUAUUGUCAAAUUUAUUAUUUAUAUAAGAGCUGUCUCUGCUUCCUCACUGAUGCUAGGCUAGUUUAAAAGUUCCAGAUGCAGCAAAGCAUGCACUGGCAAUAGUCGUUAUCAGCAAGACUGCUUAAGAUCAAAUCAAGAAAACAGCUUGAAACCAGAGACUGCCACUGAAGCAAAAUCCAGCCCAGCAGUCUGUGCUAGUGGCAGACACAAUUUGUUGUUGUUCUUGUUGUUUUUGCCUGUAUGGUGCAGACUCUCACAAUAUUUUGUUGUCAUUAUUCUUUGUCGUCUGUUAGCACUGCUGGGGGAGAACCCAGAGCCUCAGACAUGCUAGGCAACACUCUAUCCCUGAGCCACACCCCUCAUCCCUUUUAAAAAACUAAUAAUAAUUACAGAGUAAAGGAAACAUUAUGAAAAUAAAGAAUUCCUAUAAACUUCAAUUAGAUUACCCAAAUAUCAAUGUUUAUUCUCCCAGUUUAUUAUUGAAACUGCUUGAAAAUAAGCUGUGGAUUUACCCUAUUUACUUCAAAUUUUCCUAAAAUACAAAAACAGCCUUUAUAUAAUCACAAUACAAUUAUCAAAUCAGGAAACUCAUGCAGUUUGAUUAUCUAAUCUAUAGACCAUAUUCCCAUUUCACUAAUAGACCUACUCUGUCCUUUAAAGCAAUAGAGAAAAUUCAUUUUUUGUGGUUUAGGAUCCAAUGAGAGAUUAUGUUGCCAAGUUUCUUUGGUUUCCUUUAAUCUGUAUUAUUAUUAUUAUUAUUAUUAUUAUUAUUAUUAUUGUUAUUAUUAUUAUAUCUUCAUUACUUUGACAGUUUUGAAAAUUACAAGCUAGUUAUUUUGUAGAAUAUCCCUUAGUAUGGGUUUGUCCAUUGUUUCCUCAAUCUCAUGAUGACAUUGAGGUUGUGCAUUUGGGCACAGACACUCAACAGUGGUGUGUCAUCCUCAGCAGUGCGUAGUCUGAGGAGGCACACAUGUAGCUGUGUGGCACUAUUGGUGAUAAUUAACUUUAAUCACUUGGUUAAGGCAAUGUCUUUAAGGUUUCUACACUGCAAAUUCUGUCCCUUUGUAUUCUGUCCUUUGUAGCAUUUUCUAGGCAUAGGGGAGGUACUUUGAGAUCACAUAAAAAUCUUUGUUCCCAUUAUUCUUGCCUGAAUCAGUUAUUGUUACCAGAUUGACCCAGUUUGUCCAGAGAAAUUGGAUCAACUUGGCUUUUGAAUGUUUUUGGAGUAUCCCCUUUCUUCUUUGAGUUCAUCCUUACUUUCUGCUAUGAGAUCCUCUAAGUUCAUAUUGUCCUUUCCUUCUACUAACCCUGGAAUCAGUCAUCUCUCCAAGGAACCCCCAUUCUGUUUGAUGGAGAAUAGUAUUUAGAAACCAGGAGCUGGGUACUGGAUAUGCUCAUGGCUACUGCAGUAUCAUUGAUUCUAGGCUCACUUGAUGCACACAGCUAUGUAAGUUUAUAUACCAUCUAUCUGUGUCAAUCCAUCUAUCUGUCUACAUCUCUACUAACCAAUCAUCUAUCUAUACUCCACCUCCUAAAACCAUGAAUUUAUAAAGACACCUCAAAUUCCUAUCCCCAAACAUGUGAUUCAUUAUAGCUCCCACUUUUGCCAUAUUUGUAACUCCCUUCUGAUAGUGAGAAAUUGAUCCCAUUAUCUAUGGUAUAUUAUUUAUACAUGUACAUAUAUACUCAGUCUUACUUACAAUGUCCAGAAAGUAGCUUCAGAAUUGCUAAUCCAUUUCACCACAUGACAAAAGCAAAUCCAAAAAAACUCAACUUGCUUUUUGUCAAAAUAAUGUAUUCAAAAUGUAUUUGGUUUCAUUCUUCUACCCUUAAAUUAGGGUAACUUUUUUCUGUUUAUAUUCCAUUUUACACCACUGCCCCCAAUCCUGUUGAUGAUUAGUUUUUAGGUAAUACCAAUUUGGUUCCAAAAGUGAGAGCUACACAGAAAGGUAUUCCCAGAGAAGUGUUGUUACCCUUGGACCUCAGCCUCAACCUCACCAUCCUCUCUACCCUGCUUCUACCUGACCACUUCAGGUAACCAGUCUCAUUAGUUUCUGAUUUAUCUUGCCUGUGUUUUAUUUUGUUGUUGCUCUUCUUAUUUCUCAUUUCUCACAUAAAAGGUAGCAUACAAUAGAUAUGCAUUGUGCCUUUUUCACUUAAUAAUACAAUAUAGCCUGCAAAUCACUGGAUUUUAGUUCAGAAGGAUUUUCCUUUCUUUUCUUUAUCAUUGCAUAGCACAUACUUCAUUGUGUGGAUUUACCAUAGUUUAUUCAACCACCCUUCCAUGUAUGACAUUUUUGUCUGUUUAUCAAAUUUUGCAUUAAAAACAACACUGCAGUAACUACUUUCUAUGUUGUUGGAGGAGGAUCUUAAGGGUAAACUUCUGGAAAACUGGGUCAAAAGGUCAACACAUGUAUCUUUGCUAGGAAUUAAUUUCCUCCAGACAUGUUCUGUGGAGUGGCAUUUUCACCAGCCUCAUAGCAGAGUGCCACUUUCCCCAUACACUAUAGAAUGUGUGGUUAUGUUAAUUUUUUGCCAAUCUCUUGGGAAAGAUUGACAAAAGUUUAAAAUUGCAUUUCCCUUGUAAUUUGAAUCUUUUUUUUUUUUUUAAAAUAAGCUUAAGCCUACUUUAAUCUUUUGUAGUGAACCACUGAUUCAUGUUGUUUGCUUAUUUUCCUAUUCCUUUUAAAAUCUCACCUCUCUCAUUUUUAAAAGUUUUUUUUUUUUUUCCAUAUUAACGAUUUGGGUCCUUUAUCUGUAACAUAGACUGAAAAUAUCUUCUUCCAUUUGGUUAUUUGACUUUUGAUUUUGUUUAUGGUAUAUUUUGCCCAGAAAAAAAGUUUUAGUUUUUUGUAGUUAAAUCAAUCUGUUCCUUUACUGCUACUAGAUUUGACUCAUAGUUAGAAAGCCUUUCUCUAUACCCAGAUUUUACAGGAAUCCAUACUAGUAUUUGUAUGUUUUUUCUUUUAUAGUUAUAUCUCUGUUCCCUUUAGAUUUUAUGAAGUAUGAAUGUGGUUUUAUCUGUUCCAUGGCUACCCACUGUCCAAGCACCACUUAUUAGAGUCAGUCUUUGAGAUUGGUACCUAUAUCAUAUGCUACUCUUCUAUAUGUAUUUGGGUUGAGCUCUAGACUUUUUAUUUUGUUCUGCUGCUCUGUCUAUUCAUGAACUAAUACCAUACUGUUUUAAUUAUAGAGGGUUUAUAAUAUGUUUUAAUAUAUAGUAGGGCUGGUCUCCUAUCUCCAUGGUAGCUUUUAUUUUUUUAAAUUUCCCCUCACUAUUUUUGUAAAUAUUCUUGCAUAUUUGUUUGUUCAUACAAACUGUAGUAUCACUGGUGGUGUGAAACUCCACAUCAUGUAAAACCACAAGAAUGGGGAUCCUAACUAGAAUAAGUUAUACUCUAUGUAUAUAUAAUUUGUCAAAAUACACUCUUUUGUCAUGUAUAUCUAAAAUGAACAAAUAAAAAACCUUUAG